This 27-nucleotide non-coding RNA is filed under the name Mus musculus (house mouse). The record is from RNAcentral. Lineage: Eukaryota; Metazoa; Chordata; Mammalia; Rodentia; Muridae.
UCAAACUGAAAGCAAGCCUCCUGCCUC